CCGCUCGCGGCCCUCCCGCCUGGCUCUCGCCUCGGCCUGCGGCCGGGAUCCUCCGCCCGGGUCGCGCAGCGGAGGCCGAGGGCUGGGACGGGCGGCUGGGAAGUGGGAAAGGGAGCUCCUUUUGUCUUCUCUUCCCAUCCCCCAGGUUUGGGAAAGUUUUCCUUUUGGGAAAGCCCCUCUCUUCAGCCUGCUGGCGGGUGUCGGAUUGGUUAGCGACCACCGGCCCCCGCCUCCCCCAACAGGAUUCUCCUUUGGGCCACAGGUCUUCCGGAAGUUGCCAAACCCCGGUAGCGGCAGCGUCCGGCUGGGGGCUUUAUUAGGGGGCACCGGGGUCUGCUUUCCGACUCCCUUCCGACUCCGCGCCUGCGCAGGAAGCGAUUUGGGGAGUGUUGUGAAUUCCGAGGGCUCCACACUUAAGAGGUUGUACACUCACCUGUCUACCUGGACUCCAAUUUCCAUAUUUCCAGCCACUUGAGGACUGAGAGGUGGAUGAUAAACCCUGUCAUAGUGGAGCAAGUUCAGGUGUUUAACCGCUGUUAUGGGGGAUCUGCCUUUUCUCCCUCUUCUUUCUUACUUCCAUAAGUAUGUAUGUGCAGAGAUUGAAAAAUAACCUUGAGAGAGUCCAUCCAUCUAACUCCAGAUCUUGACAUCUAUGGUUCUUCAUUGUUCAGGACACAGCUGAAGUAUUACCUUUCCCAAGAGAUCUUACAUGACAAUA
This 718-nucleotide long non-coding RNA is filed under the name Homo sapiens (human). Its description in RNAcentral is "non-protein coding lnc-NBN-1:18". The record is from RNAcentral. Lineage: Eukaryota; Metazoa; Chordata; Mammalia; Primates; Hominidae.